CUUUUGAAAGUGAUUCAAUGAUGUUUAAUUAAGUAACUAAUAAGCUAAGGUUUUAACCUAAUAUGGUUAACAUACAGUCAGAUAAUAUCGGUUAGUGGUUCUGUUGAUUAAGGUUCUUAAUGAUGCUCAUGAUGUUGACCUGAUUAUUGCUGAAACAAUGUUGAAUUCUGGAUGUUAAGCUUAGAGAUAGCUUAUGUCAUGGAUUGUGAAGCUUUGUUUGCUUCUGCCCAUGGUGGUUAA
Molecule: non-coding RNA, 240 nt
Organism: Lupinus albus (white lupine)
Lineage: Eukaryota; Viridiplantae; Streptophyta; Magnoliopsida; Fabales; Fabaceae
Source: the annotation of a GenBank genome assembly